CCUACGGGCGGCAGCAGUGAGGAAUAUUGGUCAAUGGCCGGAAGGCUGAACCAGCCAUGCCGCGUGAAGGUCAGUGCCCUAUGGGCGUUAAACUUCUUUUGUGCGGGAGCAAUAAUGGUCACGUGUGGCCAGACGAGAGUACCGUACGAAUAAGCAUCGGCUAACUCCGUGCCAGCAGCCGCGGUAAUACGGGGGAUGCAAGCGUUAUCCGGAUUUAUUGGGUUUAAAGGGUGCGUAGGCUGUGAGGUAAGUCAGCGGUGAAAUGCCCCCGCUCAACGGGGUGAAGUGCCAUUGAUACUGCCGUGCUGGAAUGCGGAUGCCGUGGGAGGAAUGUGUGGUGUAGCGUUGAAAUGCAUAGAUAUCACACAGAACACCGAUUGCGAAGGCAUCUCACGAAUCCGCGAUUGACGCGGAUGCACGAAAGCGGGGGUAUCAAACAGGAUUAGAUACCUAGUAGUC
This 459-nucleotide ribosomal RNA is filed under the name uncultured bacterium. RNAcentral describes it as "partial 16S ribosomal RNA". It matches the Rfam family "Bacterial small subunit ribosomal RNA", at positions 338 to 795 of the family's 1533-position model. The record is from RNAcentral.